AGUCAGUGGAAAUUAAAACAUACUUCCUGGGGAUGAUAAGGGGCCCACAGAGCCGUCUUUGUUGGUUUAAAUCCACCAAGACGAGCAGCUUGAAUCACAUGGGAUUCCCUUAUGAGUCCUCCAUAGAGGACUGUUUCACUGGCAUACAGGUAAGGGAUUAUUUGUUGUGGCAUCGCAAAACUUUUGUUAAUUGCAGUGACUAAUUGUGUUCACUUUAAUUUGUUCUCUUAAGGCUGAAUCUGGGAGGGUUACAGAGUUCAUCUCCUGUAACCGAAUGGAGACAUCAUUCGUCGUGCCACAUUAUUUUGUGAUAAAGUUAUUGCACUGUCAUGAAGUGUAUCUUGUAGUUAGUAACUAUUAGAAUUUUGUCAGUUGUGCUUUUAUUUGUCUGCUGUGUCAAUAUUUUUUUUAUUCAACAGCAAACCAUUACAACGGUAACCUGCACUUUGCUGUAUGUGGCUGAAGAUGGACAGAUGUUCACCUCCACUUGGGACUAUGAUCACAACAACUGUGAGGAGAGUGAGGAGCGCCUUAACCCAGUGGAGUUGGAGGUGCCCUUUAUUUGCUGCCAUCUUUCAGACAGAGGGGUGACUGAAAUCGGCCUGAAGGUGCCCGCACUUCGUGAGGCAUUUGCUACUCUGCUUGCCAGCAUCCACAACCAGAACUUCUUGUUCAUGGUUGGAAAGAAGAUCGUCAUGCGACUGGCAGCAGCUAACAACCAGGAUGCAGUUGGCCUACGAGGCCCUGAUUCGAUUCCUGAGGACGCCUUCCAAUCAGGAAUCGAUUAAAGCAGAGCUCAGCUCCUGUGACCACCACUACAACUUCCUGGAUGUUUUUUUUUGAGCUGAUUUUCUUCAGCUACUUUAUAAAUGGCUCAAAACCUCAGCCAUUUAAGGGAGGAUUCUUGGAGCGCCUGCUUGCGCUCUUCAGCAUGUGGGAGAGAGUGUUUGCCACCUUUGAUGACUGCCUGGAGGCUACCUCUUGUACACUCCCCACUGACUGACCCUCCUGCUGGCUAAUCUGCUGUGCAACAUCCUCAGCCUGCUGUCUCAUUUGCACUGUCAUUUUUAAGGACUACAGGAGAGUUUCAGUGUUGAGCACCCAUGUCGGUUCUGCUUUGCAAAGAGGAGUGAAAUCCAGGAGAAGGAGGUCUGGUCAUUUGAACUGAGAACCAAGCAGGAGCAUGACAGGCAAGUGGCUGAAGUGUUACACAAUGAGCGUUUGGUAAAGCAGUAUGGUGUGAAAGGUGGCUGUGUGUUAAGUGAAAGGUUGGAACAUUUUCACACAGUUGGUGGUUUUCUACCUGACAUAAUGGAGGGUAUCAUCCCUUAUGAAAUGUCCUCGUGCAUUAAUGAUUUGGUCUCAAGGAAAUUAAUCUCUCUUAGAUCCCUGAAUCAAGCUAUCAAGCAGUUUCCUUACAAAUUCUCAGACAAACUUGAUCAGCCUCAGAUCAUCCCAGGCACAUUUCCCUCAAAAGGUACCUUUUUACCUUUAACAAUCUUUCCUCAUUUCACAUUGCGCCCUAAACACCACUACAUUGAGCACUAUCCACAGCUCAUAAGAAUGUACGGACCUCUAAGAGAUAUGUGGACGAUGCGAUUUGAGGGAAAACACCAAAUUCUUCAAGCAGGUAAUCCAUGACACCAAAAACUUUAGCAGUUUGCCAUCAAAGGCUGCUGGCUUACUACAUUGACUCUCCCUCCUUUCUCAAGCUAU
Long non-coding RNA from Hemibagrus wyckioides, 1716 nucleotides. RefSeq lists it as uncharacterized. The record is from RefSeq and is a predicted model, not a curated record. Lineage: Eukaryota; Metazoa; Chordata; Actinopteri; Siluriformes; Bagridae. The transcript has 10 exons.